AACGAACGCUGGCGGCAUGCCUAACACAUGCAGGUCGAACGAGACCUUCGGGUCUAGUGGCGCACGGGUGCGUAACGCGUGGGAACCUGCCUUUAGGUUCGGAAUAACUCACAGAAAUUUGAGCUAAUACCGGAUGAUGUCUUCGGACCAAAGAUUUAUCGCCUUUAGAUGGGCCCGCGUUGGAUUAGCUAGUUGGUGGGGUAAAGGCCUACCAAGGCGACGAUCCAUAGCUGGUCUGAGAGGAUGAUCAGCCACACUGGGACUGAGACACGGCCCAGACUCCUACGGGAGGCAGCAGUGGGGAAUAUUGGACAAUGGGCGAAAGCCUGAUCCAGCAAUGCCGCGUGAGUGAUGAAGGCCUUAGGGUUGUAAAGCUCUUUUACCCGAGAUGAUAAUGACAGUACCGGGAGAAUAAGCGCCGGCUAACUCCGUG
RNAcentral lists this ribosomal RNA (433 nucleotides) under uncultured bacterium. RNAcentral's name for it is "partial 16S ribosomal RNA". It matches the Rfam family "Bacterial small subunit ribosomal RNA", at positions 29 to 507 of the family's 1533-position model. The record is from RNAcentral.